UUCGCCCUUAGGGUUUGAUCAUGGCUCAGGAUGAACGCUGGCGGCGUGCCUAAUACAUGCAAGUCGAGCGAAUGGAUUAAGAGCUUGCUCUUAUGAAGUUAGCGGCGGACGGGUGAGUAACACGUGGGUAACCUACCUAUAAGACUGGAAUAACUCCGGGAAACCGGGGCUAAUGCCGGAUAACAUAUAGAACCGCAUGGUUCUAUAGUGAAAGAUGGUUUUGCUAUCACUUAUAGAUGGACCCGCGCCGUAUUAGCUAGUUGGUAAGGUAAUGGCUUACCAAGGCGACGAUACGUAGCCGACCUGAGAGGGUGAUCGGCCACACUGGAACUGAGACACGGUCCAGACUCCUACGGGAGGCAGCAGUAGGGAAUCUUCCGCAAUGGGCGAAAGCC
RNAcentral lists this ribosomal RNA (395 nucleotides) under uncultured bacterium. Its description in RNAcentral is "bacterial SSU rRNA". It matches the Rfam family "Bacterial small subunit ribosomal RNA", at positions 1 to 383 of the family's 1533-position model. The record is from RNAcentral.